RNAcentral lists this long non-coding RNA (544 nucleotides) under Homo sapiens (human). RNAcentral describes it as "HSALNT0222922". The record is from RNAcentral. Lineage: Eukaryota; Metazoa; Chordata; Mammalia; Primates; Hominidae.
CCCUGAGGCUCCAGCCUGAGCUCCUGGGAGGGGAUGUGGUGUAGAGACACCCUUGGCCAGGCCCCUGCCUCAGGCUGGCCUGGGGCGCCAGAGAGACCAGGCUUGUAGAAGGAACGGAGCAGGCUCACGCGGAGCCCUGUGCACGGUGAGCUCAGGGUGCAGAGGGAUCUCUGGGGCCCUGGUCACCCUCCCUGGGGAGUCCUGCUUUUCAGUGUGGCAAGAAGCGCCUUGCUGUGUGACAGCCCUCUUCCCCUCCCUGACUCUUAGUCUCCCCUGGGUCCUCUGGGGGCCCUAACAGCAGGAUGUACCUGGCCUCCUGCCCGAAGCCUCUCAGAGUGGAGGAGGACCUAGGAGGCUGGACACUGAGAUGCGAGAGGCGUCAUAGGAGGGGCGGUCCAGGGGCAGGGUGGGGAGGAGACUUCUCUUGCUCAUUCCUGGUUCAAAUGUUUCAGAUGUUGGGAUGCAGGGAAGAGGUGACUCUGGUCCCCAGAUGCAGGUCAGCUGCCAGAGGCUGGCCAGGGCUUCCCACCCACUGACCCUGGCU